GAUCAGGUAAUGGUUCCCCGAAUUCGGGGAUAAAAGGGAAUCCGGUUCUGCCUGUUUGGCUAUUCCGGAGCUGCCCCCGCAACUGUAUUCGGUAGUGAUACAUCCAUAAACCACUGGGAAACCGGGAAGGAAGAUGUAUUGCGUUAAUCCGAAAGCCAGGAGACCUGCCAUUGCAUG
Molecule: non-coding RNA, 177 nt
Filed under: uncultured Oxalobacter sp.
Lineage: Bacteria; Pseudomonadati; Pseudomonadota; Betaproteobacteria; Burkholderiales; Oxalobacteraceae
Source: RNAcentral